RNAcentral lists this ribosomal RNA (136 nucleotides) under uncultured Glomus. RNAcentral describes it as "partial 25S ribosomal RNA". It matches the Rfam family "Eukaryotic large subunit ribosomal RNA", at positions 333 to 468 of the family's 3401-position model. Lineage: Eukaryota; Fungi; Glomeromycota; Glomeromycetes; Glomerales; Glomeraceae. The record is from RNAcentral.
ACCGAUAGCGAACAAGUACCGUGAGGGAAAGAUGAAAAGAACUUUGAAAAGAGAGUUAAACAGUACGUGAAAUUGUUGAAAGGGAAACGAUUGAAGUCAGUCGUGCUGGCGCGAAAUCAACCCUCUCGUCGRGAGA